GGGGAUAUAGCUCAGCUGGGAGAGUACCAGACUGGCAGUCUGGGUGUCGAGGGUUCGAGUCCCUUUAUCUCCACCA
Molecule: transfer RNA, 76 nt
Filed under: Fusibacter tunisiensis
Lineage: Bacteria; Bacillati; Bacillota; Clostridia; Eubacteriales; Fusibacteraceae
Also listed under: 4 other names
Description: tRNA-Ala
Rfam family: tRNA
About the family: Transfer RNA (tRNA) molecules are approximately 80 nucleotides in length. Their secondary structure includes four short double-helical elements and three loops (D, anti-codon, and T loops).
Source: RNAcentral